This 1311-nucleotide ribosomal RNA is filed under the name uncultured Bacillota bacterium. Its description in RNAcentral is "bacterial SSU rRNA". It matches the Rfam family "Bacterial small subunit ribosomal RNA", at positions 57 to 1337 of the family's 1533-position model. Lineage: Bacteria; Bacillati; Bacillota. The record is from RNAcentral.
GCAGUCGAGCGCAGGAAUUAUUUGAUUCUCUUCGGAGUUGACGAUAAUGGAAUGAGCGGCGGACGGGUGAGUAACACGUAGGCAACCUGCCUGUGAGACUGGGAUAACUCGUGGAAACGCGAGCUAAUACCGGAUAACACUUUUCAUCUCCUGAUGAGAAGUUGAAAGGCGGCUUUUGCUGUCACUUACAGAUGGGCCUGCGGCGCAUUAGCUAGUUGGUAAGGUAACGGCUUACCAAGGCGACGAUGCGUAGCCGACCUGAGAGGGUGAUCGGCCACACUGGGACUGAGACACGGCCCAGACUCCUACGGGAGGCAGCAGUAGGGAAUCUUCCGCAAUGGACGAAAGUCUGACGGAGCAACGCCGCGUGAGUGAUGAAGGUUUUCGGAUCGUAAAACUCUGUUGUUAGGGAAGAACAAGUGCCAUAGUAACUGAUGGUACCUUGACGGUACCUAACCAGAAAGCCACGGCUAACUACGUGCCAGCAGCCGCGGUAAUACGUAGGUGGCAAGCGUUGUCCGGAAUUAUUGGGCGUAAAGCGCUCGCAGGCGGUUCUUUAAGUCUGAUGUGAAAUCUUACGGCUCAACCGUAAACGUGCAUUGGAAACUGGAGGACUUGAGUGCAGAAGAGGAGAGUGGAAUUCCACGUGUAGCGGUGAAAUGCGUAGAGAUGUGGAGGAGCACCAGUGGCGAAGGCGACUCUCUGGUCUGUAACUGACGCUGAGGAGCGAAAGCGUGGGGAGCGAACAGGAUUAGAUACCCUGGUAGUCCACGCCGUANACGAUGAGUGCUAGGUGUUNAGGGGGUUUCCGCCCCUUAGUGCUGAAGUUAACGCAUUAAGCACUACGCCUGGGGAGUACGGCCGCAAGGCUGAAACUCAAAAGAANUGACGGGGGCCCNGCACANGCGGUGGAGCAUGUGGUUUAAUUCGAAGCAACGCGAAGAACCUUNNCAGGUCUUGACAUCCUCUGAACACUCUAGAGAUAGAGUUUUCCCUUCGGGGACAGAGUGACAGGUGGUGCAUGGUUGUCGUCAGCUCGUGUCGUGAGGUGUUGGGUUAAGUCCCGCAACGAGCGCAACCCCCGUCCUUAGUUGCUACCAUUUAGUUGAGCACUCUAAGGAGACUGCCGGUGAUAAGCCGCGAGGAAGGUGGGGAUGACGUCAAGUCCUCAUGGCCCUUACGGGCUGGGCUACACACGUGCUACAAUGGCGGUGACAAUGGGAUGCUAAGGGGCGACCCUUCGCAAAUCUCAAAAAGCCGUCUCAGUUCGGAUUGGGCUCUGCAACUCGAGCCCAUGAAGUUGAAUCGCUA